This 70-nucleotide transfer RNA is filed under the name Dipodomys ordii (Ord's kangaroo rat). It matches the Rfam family "tRNA". Rfam says of the family: Transfer RNA (tRNA) molecules are approximately 80 nucleotides in length. Their secondary structure includes four short double-helical elements and three loops (D, anti-codon, and T loops). Further hydrogen bonds mediate the characteristic L-shaped molecular structure. tRNAs have two regions of fundamental functional importance: the anti-codon, which is responsible for specific mRNA codon recognition, and the 3' end, to which the tRNAs corresponding amino acid is attached (by aminoacyl-tRNA synthetases). tRNAs cope with the degeneracy of the genetic code in two manners: having more than one tRNA (with a specific anti-codon) for a particular amino acid; and 'wobble' base-pairing, i.e. permitting non-standard base-pairing at the 3rd anti-codon position. Lineage: Eukaryota; Metazoa; Chordata; Mammalia; Rodentia; Heteromyidae. The record is from Rfam by way of RNAcentral.
GGGAAUGUGGCUCAGUGGUAGAGCACUUGCCUAGAAGACAGGAAGCCCUGGGUUCGAUUCCUCAGUACCA